ACGGAAGGCAGCAGUGGGGAAUAUUGCACAAUGGGGGAAACCCUGAUGCAGCGACGCCGCGUGAGUGAAGAAGUAUUUCGGUAUGUAAAGCUCUAUCAGCAGGGACGAAAAUGACGGUACCUGACUAAGAAGCCCCGGCUAACUACGUGCCAGCAGCCGCGGUAAUACGUAGGGGGCAAGCGUUAUCCGGAUUUACUGGGUGUAAAGGGAGCGUAGACGGUCCGGCAAGUCUGAUGUGAAAUCCCAGGGCUCAACCCUGGGACUGCAUUGGAAACUGUUGGACUAGAGUGCAGGAGAGGUAAGUGGAAUUCCUAGUGUAGCGGUGAAAUGCGUAGAUAUUAGGAGGAACACCAGUGGCGAAGGCGGCUUACUGGACUGUAACUGACGUUGAGGCUCGAAAGCGUGGGGAGCAAACAGGAUUAGAUACCCUGGUA
RNAcentral lists this ribosomal RNA (434 nucleotides) under uncultured Lachnospiraceae bacterium. RNAcentral's name for it is "bacterial SSU rRNA". It matches the Rfam family "Bacterial small subunit ribosomal RNA", at positions 341 to 792 of the family's 1533-position model. The record is from RNAcentral. Lineage: Bacteria; Bacillati; Bacillota; Clostridia; Lachnospirales; Lachnospiraceae.